AUAGAGACUCAGAGCUGCAUAUCAAUAAGCGGAGGAAAAGAAACUAACAAGGAUUCCCCUAGUAACGGCGAGUGAAGCGGGAAGAGCUCAAAUUUGAAAUCUUAAAGGGUUUCCCUUUACGAAUUGUUAGUUUAAAGAAGUGUUUUCUGUUGAGGUUUUGGUAAAAGUUCUUUGGAAUAGGACAUCAUUAGAGGGUGAGAAUCCCGUAUUUGACCUUUACUUUCAACUUUGUGAUACACUUUCAAAGAGUCGGAUUGUUUGGGAAUGCAGGUCCAAAAUGGGUGGUAAAUUUCAUCUAAAGCUAAAUAUUGGCGAGAGACCGAUAGCGAACAAGUACCGUGAGGGAAAGAUGAAAAGAACUUUGAAAAGAGAGUUAAACAGUACGUGAAAUUGUCAAAAGGGAGGCGUUUGACACCAGUGUUGUUUUCUCGAAAAUCAAUUAAAAAUGGCUCGAUUUUGUAUUGUUGAGACCUUAAAAGCUCACUGUACAUUUUUCGUGUCUUUUUUAAUGCACUUUUCGUUUAACAAGUCAACAUCAGUUUCUUUUGUUGUAAAAGGGUCAUUGGAAGGUGGCUUUCUUUUCGGAGAAAGUGUUUAUAGCCUUUGGCCUCUGCAAUCGGAGAGACUGAGGUCUGCAGCGUAGACUCUUCGGGGUUAGAUACAUUUGUGCUAAGUUAUAGCUUCUUUAUAGACAACUUGUUGACUAUAAUUAAUCCUCGUAACUUACUCGCUUAUGCUAUUUUACCUACGCUUAGGAUGUUGAGUAGCGACAUACGCAC
RNAcentral lists this ribosomal RNA (779 nucleotides) under uncultured Neocallimastigales. Its description in RNAcentral is "partial large subunit ribosomal RNA". It matches the Rfam family "Eukaryotic large subunit ribosomal RNA", at positions 23 to 649 of the family's 3401-position model. The record is from RNAcentral. Lineage: Eukaryota; Fungi; Neocallimastigomycota; Neocallimastigomycetes; Neocallimastigales.